UUUAAGCCUGUGUGCUUAGAAGAAAGUU
RNAcentral lists this small RNA (28 nucleotides) under Bombyx mori (domestic silkworm). RNAcentral describes it as "ovarian small RNA-9779". The record is from RNAcentral. Lineage: Eukaryota; Metazoa; Arthropoda; Insecta; Lepidoptera; Bombycidae.